GUGCCCUCUAUCUAGCUAAGUCCUUAAAGCACAUACACAUGAGGUUUAGAGGACACAUACUCUGGGUUUGUCCCUGACCCCACUUCUUCUCUCAGCCUUCCCAAAUCUGAAUGAACUGGAAUUCCUCCAUCCCCUACUCUCUUCUUUCUUAGCACUUACCAUACCAUUUUGAAAAUUCCCCUUUCUUUGCCUGUUUCUGCAAAUGAACCAGAAACUCCCUGUAAGUUGAGACCAUGUGUUCUCUAUUGCUUUUUCAUGGCAAGGGGAGAUGGGGGUUGUGGUAGUGAGUGGGCAUCAGUGCCCAGAAGGCAGUGCCUGGGACACUACAAUCAUGCAGUGAACACUUGUAACAUUAAUAAGUGGGUGAACUUAUCAUGUGUCUUUAUAGUUAUACAAUAUAGUGGGAUGAUACGACACAUCUCACAAUUGUGUUGUGGAGACAAAACAAGCUUAUGGAAAGCAAUUAGAAAAAGCUAAAGACUAUAUGAGGUGGAAUAUGAAAUAGAGUGAUUUAGUUUUUAAAAACUGUGUCGCAUUUCACAAAACCUAAUGAACGUUAGCACCCACUAACCAGCCACCUCAGGGACCUGGAUAUGCACUGCUUUGGCAAUUGCCUAUCCUCACUCAAAAAAACAGGAAGGAAUUCCUCCCAAGAUCCUGAUUCCUUCCAUAGACAGUAUCUGAGCAAGUUGCAUGCUGACAAAUCUGUUUCAUUCCUUUCUAGUUAACCAAAAUGAAUAUCCUCCUGGCUUUCCUGACAAUGGGAUGCAUUCUCCAAAAUCAAAUUUACAAUUACAAUGAUCUUGGCACCACACAGUGCCCUGUGCAUACACAAGACUUGAUAAAUACUUGCUGAAUCAGUGACUUGCAGAAGAGCUUCCCACCACUUUGGGAAUGAUUGUGAUUUCCCUAAUUUCCUUGUUUUUCUUCUGCUGAAACAUUCUGCUUGCAAUACCACUCAUGAUUAUUCAGACCAGUCAAAAGGAAAAAAAAUUUUUUAUCCUGACUAACCAUAUUCAUAAACAUGAGUUACAGUGGCUGAAACAUGUUCCAGAGGAGUGUGCUCUGAACCUGCCAAGCAGCACCACAGUGGGAACCUGACCAGUGGUUACUGGUACCUCCAGUGCCCUGUACAGACUGUGUGCCACCCCCGUGCUUAGUGAACACAGGUUGGAUCUGCAGCUGAACAGCUUAAAGAAUGGCACCUCUGCACUCUAGAACUGGAGCAUGAUCUUCUCAUCAGAAGCCUUGCUUCUCACGGUUCCCUAAUUCACUUGGCAUUCAAUGACACUCUCUGUCACUUAGUUCACAAUUAUCUUUCAAACAAGAACAACAACAACACAAAAAAGAUAGCUUUGAUAAAUCUAACUUUUUCACAUGUUGAAACUGGCCCAAACUCUUAAAAGCAUAUAUUUUUACAUAAUUUAUUACAAAUGACUCACAGAUGAAGCCAUAAAUUUCCCCCACCCAGAGAAAUGUUCUCUUUUUUUGGCACUGUUUCAACCUUGAAGUUGACAAACCUAGUUUGUUUGGGGAUAGUGAGUAUUUGUGAAGAAGGCAUAGAAAACAUUUUCAAUAAUCACAUAAAAAGUCAGUUUAACUUACAGUGAACACGUUUUUGGUGCCAAGAAUUGCCCUAGGUAUUUUAUACAGACUGGUUGUCCAGAAAUCUUUUUUUUUUCUCUUCUCCUUUCUGAAGCUCAUAUGUUGCAGUGUUUUGAGGUACAGCAUAGCCUCUUGUGGAAGCUUAAAGAGAAAGGGGAAAACCCAAGUCACUUCAUUUUGCAAUUAAUUACUUCUUCUGGGAACACUUUGCCUUGCAAUUGUAGUAUUUCUCUCUCUCUAUUUAUUAUUUCUGAUUGUUUCGGUCUUGUAUACUCCACCCAGAAACAAAAAAAAUGUAUACAAAAAUAGAACUAAUCUUGACUAUGUGACUCCAAGUACGUAAUCUGUCCUCCAUAAGCAGUACUGGUAUGAAAUAAAAUAUUUAUAUGACUAUUAACAAAAGGCAAGAUAUAUUGAAUGCUUGCUGUGAGCCAGGCAUUCUGUAAAGCACUUUAUACACACUAUCUCAUUCAAUACUCAUAACAAGUUCCAGAAAUAGGUACUGUUAUUAGCCCUGUUUUACAGAUACGGCCUGAGUCACUUCCCAAAGUUCGCACAGCAAGUAAGGACAGAGGCUGAGAUAAGGCUGCAGAGGGUAAAGAGCCCUGGUUCUCUCCUUGGAGAUGGCUCACUAAGUCAUAGUCUCAGCCCCGGUCUUGCUAGCCAAGGGAUCAAAAGUAAAUCCCAAACUCCUUACGUCUCUGUUUCUUCGCUUAUUGACUGUAACCACUGACACCCACACUGUCCAUUCACUUCUGUCCACCCAUCUAUUUGUCUGUCUUAGAACACUUAACUCUCAUUGUUUUAUAUUUUGUUUAUAAGAGUUACUGGUGGCUCUCAAAGAGCAGAAAAUAUGUCAUACCCAUCUUCAUAGUCAUAGCUUCCAGGCAAAGACGAUUAUAUAAGUGAUGUCAGAUGAUCUGAACCUAGGUCGUCUGGCUCCAGAAUUUGUGCUCUUAAGGACUAUGGCAUCCAAGACAGGAAUCUGCUUUUCUUUUUAAACCCACGUCUGGUUCGGAGUAGGUCUUUAAAUUGUUUCUAUCUCCCCUUUCUCUUGAGUCUUUCACUCCUGUUUUUACUCUGUGAUCUGUAUUUAGUUUUGUGUAAUCAGAGAUGUGAUUUUCAUUGCACUCUGUUUUAAAAAGUCCAGGUAUUAAAUCUCAUAUAUGCGUUAAUAUUACUUUCUCAUUGAUCUUUCUUAGGAGCAACAGGGAAAGAAAAAACGCCUUCCUCUAAUUUUCAAGUUUUAUUGCCUUAAAUGUGAAGAGUAACAAAGUUUGACCACUCCAAAAUAUGCCAGUUUGGCACAUGGAUUAUUUCAGACUGAAGGCAAUUAAGAAUGAGCAGACACAAAAAUGCUCUCUGCUCUCCUCCUAUUUGCCUAAAAGCAAGACAUAAAUUUACCAAAGUGUCUCCUUCCCCCUCUGUACCAGAAAGGACAAAAGCUAAUCACCAGAGACAAUUUUAGUCCCUUAUCCAGCCUGGAGGCACAGGAGAAAUCUACAUACCAAACUGAAGACUUCCUUUCCCUCAUAGUUGCUUUCACACAAUUUGUUGCCGGUGGAGACCCAAAGUCCUUCUCCUUUGCCUUGUCACUUCCCCAAAAAUGUCUUUCCUUGUGAAGACCAGGCUGUAAAUAAAACUUGGAGUCACUCAUCCCCAAGUUUCUCCAAUGCAUAAAUAAGAUAAACAUGUUAAUAAAACUUGUUUGUUUUUCUCUCGUU
This is a long non-coding RNA of Callorhinus ursinus (northern fur seal), 3329 nucleotides long. RefSeq lists it as uncharacterized. NCBI's taxonomy places the organism in Eukaryota, Metazoa, Chordata, Mammalia, Carnivora, Otariidae. The record is from RefSeq and is a predicted model, not a curated record.